RNAcentral lists this long non-coding RNA (1884 nucleotides) under Glycine max (soybean). RNAcentral describes it as "long non-coding RNA (GMAX_LNC000951)". The record is from RNAcentral. Lineage: Eukaryota; Viridiplantae; Streptophyta; Magnoliopsida; Fabales; Fabaceae.
AAAGAAGAAUGGAGAGAAUAACUUAAGAAAUAACAAUAGAGAGUGGGGAGAGUGAACACCUCUCUGCAAAUAAAGGUGCCUCAUUUAUAUAAUAGAGGUGAUGUGCUAUAAGCUGUAAUCAUGAAACUCUUGAGCUUGCCCAAUUUUACACAGAAAUCUAAGAUCAGAGUCAUCAGAUAUCUAUUGUUAUAAGCCUAUUCAGUUUACCACUUACAAUUGUUCUUUUGAGCUAAUUGAGAUUCCAUGUGUAAUAGGCUAUUUACAAAGCAAGAGAGCCGAAAAAAGCUCCCAUGACAGGCUAUUACAGCUAGAUCCUAGAAGAUUGCAAAAAAAAAAAAUAGUAACAAAUUUGACGCCAGAUUAAGAACAAUAAGUCAACUCCUCUUUGCAUUGCCACAUACUCCAUUGCAGAAAACACAAGUUCUUUGUUAAGACACAAACAAAACAUCUCGUAAUCCUCCAAAAGGUACAGCUGUGGAAGUUAGCUGGAAGCCAUCUUCAAUCAAAUUGGAUUUUACUCUAAGCACCUGUAAUGUAAAACAUAAGAUCAGUAAGCGGAUCCUGCGUGCAUACAAAAAUAUACCAUAAUGUUCUCUCUGCAGGCCAUUGAAGAACAAUACUCUAGCAUAUGAUCCAUAUUUGUCCAUCAUAAGGGCUAAAAUUAGACAACUAUGAAUUUUCACAGUAAUGAUAUAUAGCAAUUUUCUGUAUAAAUUCAACUAGAUUCAAGGAUGAUGAUAGGAUGGAAUAAAGUGGAAGGGCUUACCAUUACAUAGCCUUAGGUCUUCCCCUACCCUUUUUUACUACAAUAAAUUUUCUAUUUGAUUGGCUUUUCUCAUUAGCUAUUUUUUUAGUCUUCUCUUAUAUGACCAAUCCAUUUUCACAAACCUUUAACAUAUCAGACCCAAGAGAAGUGUCAAAUGUGAGGGAGUCCACAACCAACUUAAAACUUUGUUGAAUCUUCUAUGAUAUCUGACACUAAAGCUUUAUAAAUUAGACCUUAGUUGGAUCUAGUAUCUUAGUUCGUUGAGUUUUCUUAAACACCAAACGGUUAUCAGUAAUUGCUUCUCAAGUAAUUUUGAGCAUAAAAAGAAUUACUAAUUGCAUUCCAUAAAGCAAUAUGACAAAUAAUCGGUGUGCCAAUGUUCUGCAUCUAUGAUAAAUGCUAGAAGAAAACUACAAGAGGUUCCAUUUAUAUACCAUUUUCAUACCUUCCCAUCCAAAGAAAACAAAUUCAGGAGAUCCACCAAAUAAGUAGGCCAUGACAUUGGUAGGUAUAACAUAGGAGGAAGAAAGUCUGUCCAUAUUUAACCCAAAGGUCUGCACUCUAGUGAAAGGAGAAGACCGACCAUUCAAUAGAUCAGGAAACAUAGCUAGAACCUAGGAAGUUAGCAAGAGACACAAGAAUUUAGUUCAAAGCACAGUAAGUUAGCAACUAUUAAUCAAAGUACAAACUAAUGUAAUAAUGUGUUGUAUAUGUAAGGACUAAAAUUAUCAUAGAAAUUAUAAAAAAAAAAAAGCAUUUCAAUCACAAACAUUUGAGUUACUUUUGUAAAUGUUCUCAGUUUGAAUAAGGAAACAUUUUUUGCGGAUAAUUUUUUUAAUCCCAAAUAUAUUAUAGAAAAAAAAAAUUAUCUCAUACUUAAUCCCGGCAAAAGAGACAAGAAUUCCUCUUCGUAUAAUAAUCCAGAUAUAUCCAUACCACGAACUACCCCAUUAUUCUCUCAGUGUCUUCGUAUUUGCUAUAACUUUAUUUUUUUUCACCACUUUCGUUCCUGCAUGUUACGCCAAUUUCAUUCACCUUACCGCAAAUUUCACUUAAUGCUCCUUCGUAAAUAAAUCUCAUUCACAAGUUAUAAUUUAUGUUUAAAUGCGUUAACUGAG